UGACCUCGGAUCAGGUAGGAAUACCCGCUGAACUUAAGCAUAUCAAUAAGCGGAGGAAAAGAAACCAACAGGGAUUGCCCUAGUAACGGCGAGUGAAGCGGCAACAGCUCAAAUUUGAAAUCUGGCUACU
This 130-nucleotide ribosomal RNA is filed under the name Ambrosiella beaveri. RNAcentral describes it as "partial 28S ribosomal RNA". It matches the Rfam family "Eukaryotic large subunit ribosomal RNA", at positions 1 to 130 of the family's 3401-position model. Lineage: Eukaryota; Fungi; Ascomycota; Sordariomycetes; Microascales; Ceratocystidaceae. The record is from RNAcentral.